RNAcentral lists this long non-coding RNA (304 nucleotides) under Erythranthe guttata (spotted monkey flower). RNAcentral's name for it is "long non-coding RNA (EGUT_LNC002647)". Lineage: Eukaryota; Viridiplantae; Streptophyta; Magnoliopsida; Lamiales; Phrymaceae. The record is from RNAcentral.
ACGAGAGAUUGAAUGACCAUGAGAUGAUGAUGACAGGGCUCUAGUGGUUUCUGGUGGAGAAUAAUGUCCUAAAUUUUGUUUAUUCAUUUUUAGGAGUUCUUGUAUUUGUUUAUUUUGCUCCAUUAUAAGCAUCUCUUGCUGAUCAACUCUUUGUUUUAAGGCUUCAACUUCAUUUUGAUUACCCAUGGAUGUAUCUGAAAAUUUACCACGCCUCGAAAUAUCGCCAUAUACUAUAGCUGCAGUGGCACCUUUUCCAUACAUCUUUACUCUUCCCCUUUUAUCUGGUCCAACAACUUGAGAGAAA